This 422-nucleotide unclassified non-coding RNA is filed under the name soil metagenome. Its description in RNAcentral is "partial contains 5.8S ribosomal RNA, internal transcribed spacer 2, and large subunit ribosomal RNA". The stretch from base 1 to 120 matches the Rfam family "5.8S ribosomal RNA", at positions 35 to 154 of the family's 154-position model. The record is from RNAcentral.
GAUGAAGAACGUAGCGAAAUGCGAUAAGUAAUGUGAAUUGCAGAAUUCAGUGAAUCAUCGAAUCUUUGAACGCACCUUGCGCUCCCUGGUAUUCCGGGGAGCACGCCUGUUCGAGUGUCGCGAAAUUCUUCAAGCCUUGGAUGGAUUUUUUUUUGUCUGUCCUUGGGCUUGGUUGUUGGGCUCUGCCGUGUCCUUCAUUGGGACGGCUGGCCUUAAAAGCAUUAGCCGAUCCUCGUGUGGUACUGGUUCUACUCAGCGUGAUAACAAUCUGAUCGUUGAGGACAUCUUCUGGAUGGCCAGUCAUCAUUUGGGUUGCUUCUAAACCGGUUUCGCAGAUUGCUCAAUCUGUGUGCCACUUUUCAGCUUUGACCUCGAAUCAGGUGGGACUACCCGCUGAACUUAAGCAUAUCAAUAGCGGAGGA